RNAcentral lists this long non-coding RNA (1808 nucleotides) under Pongo abelii (Sumatran orangutan). RNAcentral's name for it is "lincRNA". Lineage: Eukaryota; Metazoa; Chordata; Mammalia; Primates; Hominidae. The record is from RNAcentral.
AAGCGGAGGUGGAAGUUGGCGCGCAGGAAUGUGGCUGUCCCCGCCUGUAAAUCAUGGUUGGGGAGGAGUCGCGGAGGCACCAGGUUGGGGUGUGCAGCACACAGGGGGCGCUCCAUCUGCUGCAGCACACAGGAGGCGCUGAGGCUAGUUGGAGACAGAGUCUCACUAUGUCACCCAGGCUGGAGUGAAGUGGCAUGAUCUUGGCUUACUGAAACCUCCAUCUCCCAGGUUCAAGCAAUUCUCAUGCCUCAGCCACUUGAGUAGCUGGGACUACAGGAUUUCGCCAUAUUCCCCAGGCUGGUCUCGAACUCGUGAGCUCAGGUAACCCGCCUACCUUGGUCUCCCAAAGUGCUAGGAUUACAGCCCAAAUGACCCUCCAAGACCCUCUGGAGGCACCCGCAGUGCUCCUUAAUUUGCAGCUCUACAGAAUGAGACCGGCGUGGCAGCCCCCUUUCAGGACAGCUCCCGAGAUGCAAGAGGAGCCCCUAAAUCUCACCCAGCAAAGCCGUUUCUUCCUAACCGGGCUGGGGAGUGCCAUGCACUGCCAGGAGAUGGCGACAGAGGAUGAGCCUGCGGAAACCGGCCUUUUCAUAGCCAACAAGAGCAAAAGCACACUGCAAUGUCCAAACGAAUUGCAGGUGUUUUCUGCUCCCUGAAGCCUGGGAAUUAAUUUAUAUACUCAGUCCCUUUUCCCUUGGCUGGCCAUUGAAGUAGUUGAACCACAGGACUGGACUGUCCAGAAUCAUUAGCCAGAGUCCGCUGUGAGUGGACGUCUUUUAGUUCUGCUUCAACGCUAUAACCAACCUUUACCAAAAGCAACAACAAAACAAAAAACUGCAGAAACCAAUGAGUUCUGUUCACAAAGGAUGGCUCCUCAUGUCAUCACACUAGCAAGGAAUGGACGAGCCUCUGAUUUUUCUCUUCUUGGCUGACUUUACAAGGUUGGGUGCAGCCCAUGAGGAUCAUGAAGCAAAGACAGAAAGUGCUGGAGAAGCCCCACCUUCAGGGCCUCACCUUUAGCUGGUUUGUAUGGUUCCACUUCAUGUAGCUGUUGGAACACCAGUCUCUCUAAUGUGCUCUGUGGGAUAGCUGUUACCUUCCACUAAUUUAUGUCUAAUACCUAUAAACCUAAAGUGUCCUUUUAAAAAUUUUAUUCAGUCUUUUUGGAGGAAAUUUUUGUGCAUGCCAGAUAUAGUGUCAAGCAUGGGGAUUGCUAAGAUGAAUGUAACAUUGUCCUCACCACCCAUUAAGUCACAAUCUAGUAGAUGAGUAAAAGUAAAAAAAAUAAAAAAAAGAGUUAUAACCAUAAUACAGAAGUGAACAGGUUGCAGUGGUAGCACAGAGAGGGCUUCAGGGAUGCUGUCACAGAGGUGGUAACAUUUGAGAUAUAGAUUCCAAAUUCAGAUGUGUUUGCUGUUGCAAAAUUCCAGGGUCUAUGUGCCCAGUUCCUGAACAUUCCAGUGAUAAUUUUUACCUAAAAUUUAGGUGGCAAAUGAAUCUUACUAUAACCACUUGGAACCACUGUGUUUCUGGUCCAUCCUGUGAGACCCAUCUUUGCUUUAGAGGGAUGGAGGCAGAGGUCAUACAGCAGGUAAGCUCAAGCAGUGAUAUAUGACAGGGCUUUCAGAACUGGGGACGGCAUAUCAGAGACCUUAGUGGCAGCCCCUCCCAUCACAAGCCUGGUUACACGGUUAGGUGGAAAAGACAAGUUGUAUGUAGAGAUCAUUAUCAGAAAUUGCUAAACUCUGUCAUCAAAAACUCUGUUGGAAUGGAUUUUAAAAUUUCUUAAUAAAAGAAUAUGAAACAUG